Molecule: ribosomal RNA, 446 nt
Filed under: uncultured bacterium
Lineage: Bacteria
Description: bacterial SSU rRNA
Rfam family: Bacterial small subunit ribosomal RNA
Source: RNAcentral
UCCAGACUCCUACGGGAGGCAGCAGUGGGGAAUAUUGCGCAAUGGGCGAAAGCCUGACGCAGCGACGCCGCGUGAGCGAGGAAGUACCUCGGUAUGUAAAGCUCUAUCAGCAGGGAAGAAAGUGACAGUACCUGACUAAGAAGCCCCGGCUAACUACGUGCCAGCAGCCGCGGUAAUACGUAGGGGGCAAGCGUUAUCCGGAUUCACUGGGCGUAAAGGGAGCGCAGGCGGCACGGCAAGUCUGAUGUGAAAACCCAGGGCUCAACUCUGGGACUGCAUUGGAAACUGCCGGGCUGGAGUGUCGGAGGGGUAAGCGGAAUUCCUAGUGUAGCGGUGAAAUGCGUAGAUAUUAGGAGGAACACCAGUGGCGAAGGCGGCUUACUGGACGACUACUGACGCUGAGGCUCGAAAGCGUGGGGAGCAAACAGGAUUAGAUACCCGCGUAC